RNAcentral lists this ribosomal RNA (301 nucleotides) under uncultured bacterium. Its description in RNAcentral is "partial 16S ribosomal RNA". It matches the Rfam family "Bacterial small subunit ribosomal RNA", at positions 509 to 807 of the family's 1533-position model. The record is from RNAcentral.
CAGCCGCCGCGGGAAUACGAAGGGUGCAAGCGUUAAUCGGAAUUACUGGGCGUAAAGCGUGCGUAGGCGGUGAGUUAAGUCUGCUGUGAAAUCCCCGGGUUCAACCUGGGAAUGGCAGCGGAUACUGGCUCGCUAGAGUGUGUCAGAGGAUGGUGGAAUUCCCGGUGUAGCGGUGAAAUGCGUAGAGAUCGGGAGGAACAUCAGUGGCGAAGGCGGCCAUCUGGGACAACACUGACGCUGAGGCACGAAAGCGUGGGGAGCAAACAGGAUUAGAUACCCCGGUAGUCCCUGUCUCUUAUAC